RNAcentral lists this ribosomal RNA (253 nucleotides) under uncultured bacterium. RNAcentral describes it as "partial 16S ribosomal RNA". It matches the Rfam family "Bacterial small subunit ribosomal RNA", at positions 524 to 776 of the family's 1533-position model. The record is from RNAcentral.
UACGAGGGGUGCAAGCGUUGCUCGGAAUUAUUGGGCGUAAAGGGUAGGUAGGUGGUCUCAUUUGUCUGGGGUGAAAGCCUUGAGCUUAACUCAAGAAGUGCCCCGGAAACGGUGAGACUAGAGUCUUGGAGAGGGUCGUGGAAUUCUCGGUGUAGCAGUGAAAUGCGUAGAUAUCGAGAGGAACACCAGUGGCGAAGGCGAGUCCCUGGACAACACCUGACACUGAGGCACGAAAGCUAGGGGAGCAAACAGG